UUGUUCUUAAUAUACUUUUUUCGAUUGAAGUUACCCAGAACGCCCGAAGACUAGUUUUCGCCAACUCUUAAUUCUUUGAAUUAUUUUGGUUUUGACAGGUCGCGUUAAGCAGAACCUGAUAGUCCUUAUCAAGGUUUUUGGAAGCCACCUUACGGGUUUAGUAUCUGGGAAAAGUUCAGCCAAGAAGUUCAGGAGCUGUCGUUUGGGUUUGAAAACCUGCUGCAAAGAAACAAAGAUCGCUUUGCUCACUCCAGGAAAGAGACUUCAAAGAAACGAAGACAACAGAAAUACACCAUUGCAAGUAAGGCAAGGUUAGUUUCUUUCAAAUAAUUAAUAUAGUCAGAAGUUUAUAAUAAAAUUCUGAUAUAGUAUAAUACAGGCCUUCUAAUAAUGUCGCCUCAGCCGUCCCCCUCCUUCACUAAACCAACUUAAAGGCUUAACUAAGGAAGUGCGUAGAUGCUACUGUCGUUUUUCGAAGACCCUGCUUCGAAAUGGACAUUUGCAUACGCUUCUCAUGAAACUGCGGAACAGUUUAACCUUCCCCAGCAAAAAUUAAAUAAAAGGAACGAUUUGUUGUUUACCUCUUGAGCAUUUUGCUCCCUCCUAACUUGUUGGGUGCCCCUGUUCUGACUCUAACUCGAUACAAAGAAAAGCAUUCGGGCAUCAGGGUGUCACGCGCGAUAAACGUUAAAAAAGUUAUCGUGAUAGACGCAUGAA
This is a long non-coding RNA of Orbicella faveolata, 717 nucleotides long. Lineage: Eukaryota; Metazoa; Cnidaria; Anthozoa; Scleractinia; Merulinidae. The record is from RefSeq and is a predicted model, not a curated record.